Molecule: ribosomal RNA, 495 nt
Filed under: uncultured bacterium
Lineage: Bacteria
Description: partial 16S ribosomal RNA
Rfam family: Bacterial small subunit ribosomal RNA
Source: RNAcentral
GACGAACGCUGGCGGCGUGCCUAAUACAUGCAAGUAGAACGCUGAAGGAGGAGCUUGCUUCUCUGGAUGAGUUGCGAACGGGUGAGUAACGCGUAGGUAACCUGCCUGGUAGCGGGGGAUAACUAUUGGAAACGAUAGCUAAUACCGCAUAAUAUUGACUAUUGCAUGAUAGUCAGUUGAAAGGUGCAACUGCACCACUACCAGAUGGACCUGCGUUGUAUUAGCUAGUUGGUGGGGUAACGGCUCACCAAGGCGACGAUACAUAGCCGACCUGAGAGGGUGAUCGGCCACACUGGGACUGAGACACGGCCCAGACUCCUACGGGAGGCAGCAGUAGGGAAUCUUCGGCAAUGGACGGAAGUCUGACCGAGCAACGCCGCGUGAGUGAAGAAGGUUUUCGGAUCGUAAGGCUCUGUUGUAAGAGAAGAACGAGUGUGAGAGUGGAAAGCUCACACUGUGACGGUAUCUUACCAGAAAGGGACGGCUAACUACGUG